RNAcentral lists this small RNA (125 nucleotides) under Marmota monax (woodchuck). Lineage: Eukaryota; Metazoa; Chordata; Mammalia; Rodentia; Sciuridae. The record is from RNAcentral.
GCUGGGCGCAGUGAUGCACACCUGUAUUCCCAGAGGCUUGGAGGCUGAGGCAGGAGGAUCAAGAGUUCAAAGCCAGCCUCAGCAACUUUGCAAGACCCUAAAAACUUAGAAAGACCCUGUCUCUA